UAUCAACUGACCUAGCAGACAACCCAAGAUGAUAGAGUUUUUCCUUUAAGGAGGGAAUAAUG
This 62-nucleotide non-coding RNA is filed under the name unclassified sequences. The record is from RNAcentral.